RNAcentral lists this ribosomal RNA (429 nucleotides) under Acidobacteriota bacterium. RNAcentral's name for it is "Acidobacteria bacterium partial 16S ribosomal RNA". It matches the Rfam family "Bacterial small subunit ribosomal RNA", at positions 355 to 776 of the family's 1533-position model. Lineage: Bacteria; Pseudomonadati; Acidobacteriota. The record is from RNAcentral.
UGGGGAAUUUUGGACAAUGGGGGAAACCCUGAUCCAGCCAUCCCGCGUGUGCGAUGAAGGCCUUCGGGUUGUAAAGAACUUUUGGCAGGAAAGAAACGUCAUGGGUUAAUACCCCGUGAAACUGACGGUACCUGCAGAAUAAGCACCGGCCAACUACGUGCCAGCAGCCGCGGUAAUACGUAGGGUGCAAGCGUUAAUCGGAAUUACUGGGCGUAAAGCGUGCGCAGGCGGUUCGGAAAGAAAGAUGUGAAAUCCCAGAGCUCAACUUUGGAACUGCAUUUUUAACUACCGGGCUAGAGUGUGUCAGAGGGAGGUGGAGUUCCGCGUGUAGCAGUGAAAUGCGUAGAUAUGCGGGGGAACACCGAUGGCGAAGGCAGCCUCCUGGGAUAACACUGACGCUCAUGCACGAAAGCGUGGGGAGCAAACAGG